GAGAAUGCCGGAAUGAGUAGCGAGAAUUAUGUGAGAAUCAUAAUGGCCGAAAAUCUAAGGUUUCCUGAGGAAGGUUCGUCCGCUCAGGGUAAGCCGGGAGCUAAGGUGAGGCGGAAACGCGUAGCCGAUGCACAUACGGUAGAGAUUCCGUAGCCUCCGAAAAGUAAAGCACAGGGACGCUUCAGAAGUGUUACGCCGGGCGAUGGUUGCCCCGGUUGUAAAGGACACGAUUGAGUGGAAGGUAACAUGGAUGGAGACAAGAAAAGCUGUGUGUAUCUGGAAGGAGCCCGUACCGCAAACCGACACAGGUAGAUAGGAAGAAGAUUCUAAGGCCAGCGGGAGAAGGGUUGUUAAGGAACUCGGCAAGUUGACCCCGUAACUUCGGGAGAAGGGGUGCUUACGAAGGUAAGCCGCAGAGAAUAGGCCCAAGCGACUGUUUAGCAAAAACACAGCUCUAUGCUAAAUCGAAAGAUGACGUAUAUGGGGUGACACCUGCCCGGUGCUGGAAGGUUAAGAGGAGAUGUGAGAGCAUUGAAUUGAAGCCCCAGUAAACGGCGGCCGUAACUAUAACGGUCCUAAGGUAGCGAAAUUCCUUGUCAGGUAAGUUCUGACCCGCACGAAUGGUGUAACGAUUUGGGCACUGUCUCAACAACCUACCCGGCGAAAUUGUAGUACCGGUGAAGAUGCCGGUUACCCGCGACUAGACGGAAAGACCCCAUGGAGCUUCACUGUAGCUUAAUAUUGAAUUUUGGUAUUUCAUGUACAGGAUAGGUGGGAGACUGGGAAAUACAGGCGUCAGCUUGUAUGGAGUCACUGUUGGGAUACCACUCUUGAGGUGCUGAAAUUCUAACCUGCGUCUUUGAAUCAAGACGGGGGACAUUGUUAGGUGGGCAGUUUGACUGGGGCGGUCGCCUCCAAAAGAGUAACGGAGGCGCUCAAAGGUUCGCUCAGCAUGGACGGAAACCAUGCCAAAGAGUGCAAACGCAAAAGCGAGCCUAACUGCGAGACUGACGGGUCGAGCAGUAACGAAAGUUGGAGUUAGUGAUCCGGCGGUAUGUGAGUGGAAAUGCCGUCGCUCAACGGAUAAAAGCUACCCUGGGGAUAACAGGCUGAUCUCCCCCAA
Molecule: ribosomal RNA, 1123 nt
Filed under: human gut metagenome
Description: bacterial LSU rRNA
Rfam family: Bacterial large subunit ribosomal RNA
Source: RNAcentral